Molecule: long non-coding RNA, 2458 nt
Filed under: Eucalyptus grandis
Lineage: Eukaryota; Viridiplantae; Streptophyta; Magnoliopsida; Myrtales; Myrtaceae
Description: long non-coding RNA (EGRA_LNC002912)
Source: RNAcentral
AGUCAAUGUUUAUCCCCUCAUUCGGCCGACGAUACCACUGAGCUGUCUUCCACUUUUGCUUUCACUUUUCCCUGGUUUCAAUCGCCCCUUGACCUGAAAUGAGUGGCUUCUGGUUUUCUUCUCAUUUCGGUUCUUCGAAGUCCACUGACCCACGCACCUCAACUCCUUGCAUCUCCUCCCACCGAAAUCCCCAUCUUCACUGAAGCGUAGUCUCUGCUGCAGCUCACGCCAGCUACCCCACUACCAACACACCAAACUUCAUCAACGUUUGCCCGUCUUCAACGCGCCAUCUCCAUGCUUCGGUCAAACCAACGAAACCAAAGUAGCUCCGUGUGUCCUACUCUUUCACGUGCAGCACCACCGAGUCAGUCUAGCAGCAUCCCACGAUGGUUUACUUUUCCACUUGGCGUCACCGCUUCUUGCUUCCCCUCUGUCCAGCGACUCCACCAGAGAAGUCAGCCCGUGAUUGUCUCCUCUUUCGUCCGCAAGACUGCCUCAUCUCCACGGAAGCAACAGCCAUCCACUAUCUUGCACGAAGCCGAGUCCUCAGCCCGUGUUUUUAGUCCAGCUCGGCACCACUUCGAGCAACCCGCGAAGUCAGUUCAGCCCCCGUGACAGCCCUAGAACUCUUGAUCAGCAGCUAUUUUACAGCAAGGGUUUGAAGGUCCCGUGGCCCGUUUUUGAGCCAUCCCAAUUCCGGUUGGCAGAACCGCUUUGAAGAGAACUGAGCUUUGUUCCGUGCUCAUUGAUUUGAUCCGAGCAAAUCUUUAAUCAGGUGAGUUUUGCUCACUAAUGCUUUCUUAGUUUGCUAAUUAUACUUAAAGAUUGAUUAGUGUUAGUUAAGUAUAAUUAGGUGGCUAGAUUAGAAUAGAUUAGUGAUUAUUAGUGAAUUGUAUCGCAUAUUAGUGAAAUAGUUAGUGUACUUGGCUAGAGAAUGGCCUAUAGUAUUUAUUGAAUGCUUUUUGGGAGUUUUCCCGACCCUUAUCGGGUGUUAAUUAGGCAAUUCGGGCCUAAAUGGAAAUUUUUAGGAAUUAAAUAUUAAUUUUCGAAAUUAAUUAUUUAAUUAUUUAUUUUCCGAAAAUUCAACUAGGAUGGUUAGUGAUCGGGAUUUUAUGCUGAUGAUCGCAGUGUAGUCCGUUUAUUUAAUUGAGCUUUAUAUUGUGCUAAAUUGAAUUUAUUGUAUUUAUUUAUUUAAUUUUCGAAAUUAAUUAUUUAUUUUCCGGAAAUUCAACCGGGAUGGUCGGUGACCGGAAUUUCGUGCCGAUUUUCGUGGUGCAGUCUAUUUAUUUAUUUGAACUCCACACUGUGCUGGAUUGAAUUAAUUGUGCAAUUUGAGGAAUUGUUCCUUAAUUGAUUGAAAUUGAGUGGAAUUGAAUGAUUGAUUCGGUAGGUGGCCGAGUAUGGCUAUUUAGCAUUUACAAUGCCUUGAUGAGUUGGUGGAGAGAGUCGUGAGAGUGAACUGAGAACUCUAUUGGCUGAGACCAAUCAUGUACGAAAUAUAGAUAGGCGUAGUUCGGUGAUUAAGGAUAUCACUGUGUGAAAACGGCGCCUCAAAGAACGCACGUAGACUGUCUAUGACUUCUAACGGGCAUGGUUCGGUGAUGAAGGAUAUCACUUGCGAAAAUAGCGCCUUAAAGAACGCACGUAGACUGCCUAUGAUUUGUGACAGGCGUGGUUCGGUGAUGAAGGACAUCACUGUGCGAAAACGGUGCCUUAAAUAAUGCACGUAGACUGUCUGUGAUCUAUGACGGGCGUGGUUCGGUGAUGAGGAAUAUUACUGUGCAAAAACAGCGCCUUAAAGAAUGCACAUAGACUGUCUAUUACUUAUGUCACCUUAGCGAAAACGACGCCCGAGAGUAUUAAUGAAGCUCUGUGACUAAGUGUACUAUUGGAGGUUAUGUGGGAUGAAGUGAAUGACCUAGAAAUGGUCCGAUUGACAUGUAAUUGACUAGGUCAAUUUGAUCGAUGCUUUGACCAAUGAUGUGAUUGCUUGGGUGCCUAUUUGAUUUAUGCUAAUAUGCAGGUGGAACCUGAGGCCAAGGUAAGUCCUCUGACUCAUGUUGUGCAUAGACAGCCCUAAGGUGUAUUAGUUUACUAAUUGGGUCUUAGGGGGUAGAACUUGCUGAGAUGUGGUCUCAAUGGUUAUUGAAUAACCAUUUCAGGACCCUGAUGAGGAGCCUGAGGAGGAGGAAUCUAAAGAGGAGAACUCUAAUGUGGAACCAAAUGAGAAUGAAGAUUUUGGAGAAUAAGAUGACCAUGAGGAGGACCCUGAGUACAACCCGGAUGAGGACUGAGAUCCCAUCCCGUUUUGUCAGACCUUGAUUAUAUGUGGAUGAACGUUAGAUAAGACCCCUAGUAUUGCAUUAUAUGCUAUGAGGUGCUUGUAUAAAAGAGUAGUUGAGAAUUUCAGUAUGAAAAUUAUGGUUCUGCUUUUCUAUCCCAUUGUUUUAUUGUCUGG